GUGAGUAACACGUAAAUAACCUGCCCUUAAGUCUGGGACAACCUUGCUAACGCGAGGCUAAUACCGGAUGUGAAUUUAGAGUCUCCUGACUCUUUAUUUAAAGGUCCUUCGGGAUUGCUUAAGGAUGGAUUUGCGGACCAUUAGUUAGUUGGUAGGGUAACGGCCUACCAAGACGAUGAUGGUUAGCCGACCUGAGAGGGUGAUCGGCCACAUUGGGACUGAGACACGGCCCAGACUCC
This 239-nucleotide ribosomal RNA is filed under the name uncultured bacterium. RNAcentral's name for it is "partial 16S ribosomal RNA". It matches the Rfam family "Bacterial small subunit ribosomal RNA", at positions 106 to 339 of the family's 1533-position model. The record is from RNAcentral.